RNAcentral lists this transfer RNA (73 nucleotides) under Bos taurus (domestic cattle). It matches the Rfam family "tRNA". Rfam says of the family: Transfer RNA (tRNA) molecules are approximately 80 nucleotides in length. Their secondary structure includes four short double-helical elements and three loops (D, anti-codon, and T loops). RNAcentral also lists the same sequence under 2 other names. Lineage: Eukaryota; Metazoa; Chordata; Mammalia; Artiodactyla; Bovidae. The record is from Rfam by way of RNAcentral.
UCCCUUGUGGUCCAGUGGCUGAGACUCUAUACUUCCAAUGCAGGGUGUGCAGGUUCAAUUCCUGGUUGGGGAA